Molecule: RNA transcript, 5977 nt
Organism: Durio zibethinus
Lineage: Eukaryota; Viridiplantae; Streptophyta; Magnoliopsida; Malvales; Malvaceae
Gene name: P-loop containing nucleoside triphosphate hydrolases superfamily protein
Source: RefSeq, a predicted model, not a curated record
AAACGUAGAGGGGAAUCGUACCUAAGUUUAAGAACAGAAUUGAAAUUUGUUUUUUAGGGUUUUCUGAGCAAUGGAAGAUUCGGAAAAGAGAAGGCACCGUGAGAGAAGAGAUAGGGAUAGGGAUCGAGAACGGCGCCGUUCCGAGAGAGAGAAGAGCAGUGAUUCCGAUAGGGAAAAGGAAAGGGAAAAAGAAAAACACCGGAGGGAGAGGAAAGAUAGGGAACGGGAAAAAGAAAAAGAGAGGGAAAGGGCAAGGGAAAAGGAAAGGGAGAGGGAAAGGGAAAAAAGGGAAAGAGAAAGGGAAAGGGAGAAGAGGGAAAGAGAAAGGGAAAAGGAAAGGGAGAGAGAGAGGAAGUCGAGGGAAAGGGAAAGGGAAAGGGAAAGGGAGAAGCGGAGGGAAUAUAAUAGUGAUGAUAGUAAGGAGGAAAAGGAACGACAUAGGAAGCGUCGAAGGAGGGAACGAGACGAUGAUGAUGAUGGUGAUGAUUAUAAGGAGAGAGAAAGCAAAUCGACUAGAGGAGAAAGUCCUGCUAAGAAAAAGAGUGGUGAGGAUGAGUUGGAGAAGAAAGAGAAGAAGAGUAGGGAACAGGAGAUGGAAGAUGAGCAGCAAAGACUGGACGAGGAGAUGGAGAAACGGAGGAGAAGGGUUCAGGAAUGGCAGGAGUUAAGGAGGAAGAAGGAAGAAUCAGAGAGGGAAAAACGUGGGGAAGGGAAUGUGGAAGAGCAGGAGGCUAAGGUUGGUAAAGCUUGGACUCUGGAAGGAGAAUCAGAUGAUGAUGAAGUAGGUUCUCCAACAAAAUUGUAUACAAAUAUGGAUGUUGAUGAUAAUGAGAAUUCGAAGCCUGAUAGUAAGGAAGGUGGAGAUGGAAUGAUGGAAGGAGGAGAUUCUGAUAAUGGGGAAGAUAAAAUGGUUGUUAACCAAAAUGGGGGCAAUGGGAUUGCUGAGGAUGAUGAUGAAAUUGAUCCAUUAGAUGCUUUUAUGAAUUCAAUGGUGUUACCUGAAGUUGAGAAACUAAGUAAUGCGGUUGUUGAUCCUCCUCCUACUGCUGAUGAUGAUAAAAAUGGGAACUUUAAGGAUAAAAAAGAUGGCUUCAGUAAUGGUGGACAGCAACCAAAGAAAGAUUCUAACAAGGCACUUGGGAGAAUUAUUUCUGGGGAAGACUCGGAUUCAGAUUAUGGGGAUGUUGAGAAUGAUGAAGAGAAUUUAGAAGAUGAAGAUGAUGAUGAGUUCAUGAAAAGGGUAAAGAAGACAAAAGCUGAAAAACUAUCUAUUGUUGAUCACUCGAAGAUUGAUUAUAAACCUUUCAGGAAAAAUUUCUAUAUUGAAGUGAAGGAGAUAUCAAGAAUGACACCUGAAGAAGUUGCUGCUUACAGGAAGGAAUUGGAAUUGAAGUUACAUGGAAAGGAUGUGCCCAAACCAAUCAAAACCUGGCAUCAAACUGGACUCACAAGUAAAAUAUUGGAGACAAUAAGGAAACUUAAUUAUGAGAAGCCAAUGCCAAUUCAAGCUCAGGCACUGCCCAUAAUUAUGAGUGGUCGAGACUGCAUUGGCAUAGCAAAAACCGGCUCUGGCAAAACCCUUGCUUUUGUGCUACCAAUGUUAAGGCAUAUCAAAGAUCAGCCACCUGUAGUAGCUGGAGACGGGCCUAUUGGGCUCAUCAUGGCACCUACAAGAGAGCUUGUCCAGCAGAUUCAUAGUGAUAUAAAGAAGUUUGCCAAGGCAUUGGGAAUCAGAUGUGUCCCUGUGUAUGGAGGGUCUGGUGUUGCCCAGCAGAUUAGUGAAUUAAAGCGGGGAACAGAGAUUGUUGUCUGUACUCCAGGUAGGAUGAUUGAUAUACUUUGUACUAGUGGGGGAAAAAUUAGUAAUCUGCGUAGAGUAACAUAUUUGGUUUUGGAUGAAGCUGACAGAAUGUUUGAUAUGGGUUUUGAACCUCAAAUCACUCGAAUUGUUCAAAAUAUUCGACCUGAUCGCCAAACUGUACUAUUUUCUGCCACUUUCCCUCGUCAGGUUGAGAUUUUGGCACGUAAAGUGUUGAAUAAACCUGUUGAAAUACAGGUUGGUGGGAGAAGUGUUGUGAACAAGGACAUAACUCAGUUGGUCGAGAUGAGGCCAGAAAGUGAAAGGUUCCUGAGAUUGUUAGAACUUCUAGGUGAAUGGUGUGAGAAGGGGAAAAUUUUGAUUUUUGUCCACACCCAAGAAAAGUGUGAUGCUUUGUUUAGGGAUUUACUCAAACACGGUUACCCUUGCCUGUCACUUCAUGGGGCCAAGGAUCAGACAGAUCGUGAAUCCACUAUUUCUGAUUUUAAGAGUAAUGUCUGCAAUUUGUUGAUUGCAACAAGUGUUGCAGCAAGGGGUUUAGAUGUGAAGGAGCUUGAAUUAGUGAUUAAUUUUGAUGUUCCAAAUCAUUAUGAAGAUUAUGUUCACCGUGUUGGUAGGACAGGUAGAGCUGGCCGGAAAGGCUGUGCCAUCACAUUUAUCUCCGAGGAUGAUGCAAGAUAUGCACCAGAUCUUGUAAAAGCUUUGGAGCUCUCUGAGCAAGUUGUUCCUGAUGACCUGAAAGCUCUUGCUGAUGGCUUUAUGGCAAAAGUCAAUCAGGGACUUGAGCAGGCCCAUGGAACAGGUUAUGGUGGAAGUGGUUUUAAAUUCAAUGAAGAGGAGGAUGAAAAGAGAAAAGCAGCAAAGAAAGCACAAGCAAAAGAAUAUGGGUUUGAGGAAGACAAGUCAGAUUCUGAAGAUGAAGAUGAAGGGGUGCGGAAGGCAGGUGGUGACAUCUCACAGCAGACAGCGCUUGCUCAAAUAGCUGCCAUGGCUGCUGCCACCAAAGCUAGUACUGCUUUGAUGCAGAACACUCUAUCAUCUGUUCAACUGCUUCCCAAUGCUGUAUUGCCCGUUUCUCUUCCUGGUGUACUUGGUGUGUCAAUGCCAGGUACUGCAGCAGUUGUGCCUGGGAGUGGGCUGCCUGGUCUUCCAAAUGAAGAGGCUGCUCGAAAAGCUGCAUUGCAAGCUGCCCUUAACUUGCAGCAUAACUUGGCAAAGAUUCAAGCUGAUGCGAUGCCAGAACAUUAUGAAGCAGAGUUGGAGAUAAAUGAAUUCCCCCAGAAUGCUCGAUGGAAGGUUACCCACAAGGAAACUUUGGGUCCAAUAUCAGAAUGGACUGGAGCUGCCAUUACCACCAGGGGCCAGUUUUUCCCACCUGGUCGGAUCCCAGGACCAGGGGAACGCAAGCUUUACUUGUUCAUUGAGGGACCUACAGAGCUAUCUGUUAAGAGAGCUAAGGCUGAACUAAAACGUGUCUUGGAAGAUAUCUCACACCAGUCCUUACAACUUCCUGGUGGGACUCAACCUGGCAGAUACCAGGUUUUGUAGAUAGAUAGAGCCAUUACUAGCUCUCACCUACAUUGUGGGAGGAACUUUCUCAAAAGUACUAGCUGAUAAAGGCUGAUUUUCUUAUGUGCAUACAUUGGUUAACCUCUGUUGAAAUCCAUUUAAUACUGGUGAUUAACAAGGGUUCUUUCUUUCUUUUUUUUCCCUUUUUGUCUUUUCUUCUCCUUUGUUUUUCAGGUCUGAGAAGGCCAGGAUUCGUAAGUCCAUUAUUUUCAGAUUUUAGUGAUUGUAGUGUUUCUCAUCGAGUUGUUAUAGUUAAAAGGAGCACGUUGUUUUGGGUUUGGUGCAUUCUGAUGCAUUGGCUCUGUUUACUUGGCCUCAGAUUCACUAAUCCUUUAGUUAAUUUGAUAUGGAUGGUGGCUUGAGUCCCACUACGGUGCUGGGUCGAGAAGAUAAGUAGAGGAAUCAGAUGCUGUGUGAUUGGUAACAUAUUUCUCCCUAAUGGGAACUUCUAUGCUAUUUCAAGCAUCAACCUGAGAUUGCAUUUUGGUUUAGAAAGAUGUGGAUGUCCUGGAUCCUUGCAAAUUUAAUACUUUAGCCAUAUUUUGUUCUGAACUUGAGUUUUUUCUUUUUUUAAAGUUAAUAUAUAUGUUCUGAAAGUAUAUAUCUGACUUCAAUAUAAAGUUAUGAACAGCAUAUAGCAAACCCAAUCAGAGCUGCUAGGCUGGGAUUUGAUUUGUGUAUUCCCAGUUCUUGUUUAUAAUGAGUAGAAAGUGGAAGGGUAUUUGCUAAAGAAAAUGACGAGCCUCAAUUUGGCAAGUGAAAGAGUAUGUAUGUUUUUGUUCGAUUGGAUUUGAUUUGUGUAAAGGCAGCAGAGAUGACUGGCUCAUGAAUGAAACUGAAAUUGAAAUGACAGGAUUGAAGAUAUGCUGAAGAAUAUUGUCAUCACAAUAGAUGAUAUCACAUGGAGAUUAACCUGUAAAUCAAUUAGAGAAAGAAGUAAAAACAGUGGUGAAGUAUGUGGGGUUAGUGGACAUGAGCUUCUCCAAGGGAAAGCCAUCCCUGGUGUGUGGUAGGCUGAUGUUUAUGGACUUCUGUGAUACUCUGCUCCUUGCCUAUCGGGACUAAACUGUCCUCUUCCUCUAUAUUCCUUGUGUCCAUCACACUCUGGUCCUGAGUGGUUUUGGACAUAUAAACAUGAUUAAAUGUUCUUGUCACUCUGCAUUGGACUUGAUUGCAUAUUAUUAGAUAGGCUUGCCAUAUAUGUUUAUCUUGUGGAGAGUGUUUUUAUAUUAAAUUCUAUUUCUGAAAUAGUUCUUGGUACAUUCUUGUGUGAAUGCUGUUAAAUGUUCUCUGCAUUAUGCUUUGUACUGUUAUAGUAACAAGAUUGAAGGAUUGCAUUUGUUCUUAUUUGAAUGCACAGGUCGGAAUUUAUGUGCUGCACCGACUGUAACAAGUUUCAAGGACUGCACUUGUUCUUUGAAUUUUGUUUGCUAACUGCAACACCCUUCUAGGUGCUUUCUUGUUUAAUUUUCCAAUGGCAACAAAUGUAUCAACCAGGGCAGAUGCUGCUUCUGCCUAUGGGCCUGUGUAGGUGAAUGGUACUGGCAAGUUCGCCACUCUAUCUCGAGCACUGAAGUUAGGUGAGUUGAAAGAGCCUUUUUGUCAUUUUAAUCAGUCUUUGGACUGUAUUCAUAGAUCAUUCAUCCCUCAGAUUAUGCAUCCAGAUUCUUCGCUUGAGAAUUGUCUGCAUCAUAUUAGUUAGUUAAUAUUUGAGUGUGGAAGAGAUCUUUGUUUCCAUUCAGUGUGACUUACCUCUUUUUGAUGUAUCUUCAUAGACAGUGAAUACCGACUUCCUGCAUGAACAGACCAGGUGAGUCUUUCUGGGAUUAAAAGGUUGCAAAUAUAAUUGAUUAUAGAGAGAAACAUAGUCCUUGUGUAAUCUAAAUGCAACUCGGGCCAGGAUAAUCAGAUUUUGAAGCAUUUUUUCUUGCAGCAGCCAAAGAAAAUGCAAAGCAGUUUUACUUAUUAGGCACACCUUAUGUUGACUUUGUAGCUGAACUAAGCUCGUGCUUCUGAUUGGGGUGCUUAGGUCAGUGGUCGAGCACAUCCAAUAGGACUAGCAAAAAUCCAUUGUUGGCUGUGGGGUGAAGUCGAUACUUUGAAACAUUGGGUAUAGAUGUUUAAAUCUCAAGUCACCCAUUUGAUGACAUUAGGGUCACAAAUCAUAACCAAUAAGUUGAAUGACAUCUUUUUGUAGCCUGGGAAACCCAUUUUUUCCAGGCUACAAAGAGGGUCACACGAUCGAUGCAGAAAUCGGUGGAAUCUCAAGUUCCAAUGUGUUUUGACUUGAUAGAAGUUUGAGGUGAUCUAGUUGUCCGUAGGCACCCACAAUCAGUAUUCUAUGGAAGAUGAAACUACUUUAUUCGAUAUGUUUAGGAAUAUUCAAAUAAAGAAGAUUAAAAAGAAUAUUACGUAGUUUUGGUAAGGAGGUGAGAACAAUUAAAUAACGAACAAUUUGAAUAAUUUUUUUUUCAAAGAAAGUUAAAAAUUAUUUCAUCAAUAUUAUUCUAGACAAUACAGCAAGUAUAAUCCUACAUUAAAAAUAGUGUCUUUAAACUAAUGAUAAUAACGGAUAGUAAAUAAAUAGGG